Molecule: long non-coding RNA, 1003 nt
Filed under: Phoenix dactylifera (date palm)
Lineage: Eukaryota; Viridiplantae; Streptophyta; Magnoliopsida; Arecales; Arecaceae
Description: long non-coding RNA (PDAC_LNC004841)
Source: RNAcentral
NUUGUGAUUAUCACUGGGGGAGAGGGGGGAUGAUAGCAAUGAGAGACAUGGGUAGCAGAAGAGGAGGUGAUAUGAGGCAGCCAGUAGAUCAACAUAUGUGAAAGGAGUUAUCAAAGGGGGCAAAAAGGUUUAAGAGUUUUUUUCCCUUUAAUUAGAUAGGGAGAAUGGUGCAUUGGAGAUUUAAGCAAAUUUUAAUACUCACACGAGCAUUAUAUGAGAUUUUUGUUGAAAUUCAGUCAACGGAGAUUGACAUUGAUAUCCCAUUGGAUCGAUUUGCUAACCGAAAAAGAAUGAACUAAAAAUUUUUAUAUAUGAAAGGAUGAUAGUGCAACUCGGACAAAAGUUGAGGAAGUCAAAAUACUAUUUUCCCUAUAAUUAAUUUUUUUUUGAGCAUGAGCAAGACAUGCUUACAUAUUCUAUCAUCAAAUGAGAGAGACAAAUGACUUCACAAUAAGCAGGACCUAUGCAAGACAAUUCACUUCAGACUUCAUGGCAUUUGUCUAAAUCAAAGAGGGAAAAAACAUUAUAGACCUCAUCGCAUUAAGUGGUCCCUCGAAUAGCACGGGCUGUCUUGCAGUUGCAUUCUUGAAGCUAGCAAGAGACUAUGGUAAAUAAACCAUGGGAUAUUUGGCUUGAUUUCAUGCCAUUCUUUUUAACCUCUCAACCCCAUAGGGUUGGACCACCGACAAGGUCAGCUGAACUUAGCACUGAGCCUAAGAUCCCAGGACCACAUACAGAUAAGACCCAUUCAACGGACACUUGGGAGCACCUAACUAAUAUCAAACUCCCCCACAGUGGUCCAAACCCUCAACAUGCACUCCAUCGAUUUGAUCGAAUGGCGGUAUAUGGCGAUAUCCGGUGCACCAACAAUGCACUAAAUAAAUGCACCAUCGGUUAGGAUUAGUUAGAACAUUAGCACUAAUAUAAGAUUGGAAGGUUCGGCGUCACGAAAUGCAUCAUCUAAGACUACUAUAAUAGUACUUGGUUGAUCAUUCGAUGCGAU